Acipenser ruthenus (sterlet) is the source of this 438-nucleotide long non-coding RNA. RefSeq lists it as uncharacterized. The record is from RefSeq and is a predicted model, not a curated record. The transcript has 3 exons. NCBI's taxonomy places the organism in Eukaryota, Metazoa, Chordata, Actinopteri, Acipenseriformes, Acipenseridae.
AUGGCCCUCAGUCAAAACAGUGGGCGACCUAUUGCUGAAGGCAUCUCUGGAGGAAGCUCAUCUGACCCAACCAACCCCCAGGACACAAGGGCCUACAUAAGAGUUACUGAUGGUGUAAUCUGUCUGGUGGAGCCUUCUGCCAUAACAGACCUCCAUGCAGUUGAGGAUGAUGAUGAAGACACCUUGUCAGCUGCCACAGAGAGGGAAGAUACAGAGAGACCUAUUGAGGUUCACACCUUAAAAGUAACAUCUAACAGUUGAUGAUAGUGUUGUACCAAAAAUAAAACUUGCACAUUCUUUUUCUGUAAGAGCGAAAAAGAUGCUGGAAAUUACAAUGAGGAAGAGGGUCCAUCCACCUCCACAGCACAACUUACCUCAGUAAGAUGUUGUUCAGCAUUGGCCCAUGACUUACAAUGAAACUAAGUAGACCUGGCACUG